GGUUAAGUUAAUAAGGGCGCACGGUGGAUGCCUUGGCACUAGGAGCCGACGAAGGACGUGACAAACGACGAUAUGCCUUGGGUAGCUGUAAGUAAGCGAUGAUCCAUGGAUUUCCGAAUGGGGGAACCCAACAGGUAAUACCUGUUACCCACAUCUGUUAAGGAUGUGAGGAGGAAGACGCAGUGAACUGAAACAUCUAAGUAGCUGCAGGAAGAGAAAGCAAAAGCGAUUGCCUUAGUAGCGGCGAGCGAAACGGCAGAAGGGCAAACCGAAGAGUUUACUCUUCGGGGUUGUAGGACUGCAAUGUGGACUCAAAGAUUAUAGAAGAAUGAUUUGGGAAGAUCAGCCAAAGAGAGUAAUAGCCUCGUAUUUAAAAUAGUCUUUGUACCUAGCAGUAUCCUGAGUACGGCGGGACACGUGAAAUCCCGUCGGAAUCUGGGAGGACCAUCUCCCAACCCUAAAUACUCCCUAGUGACCGAUAGUGAACCAGUACCGUGAGGGAAAGGUGAAAAGCACCCCGGGAGGGGAGUGAAAUAGAACCUGAAACCGUGUGCCUACAACAAGUUCGAGCCCGUUAAUGGGUGAGAGCGUGCCUUUUGUAGAAUGAACCGGCGAGUUACGUUAUGAUGCGAGGUUAAGUUGAAGAGACGGAGCCGUAGGGAAACCGAGUCUGAAUAGGGCGCCUUAGUAUCAUGACGUAGACCCGAAACCAUGUGACCUACCCAUGAGCAGGUUGAAGGUGCGGUAAGACGCACUGGAGGACCGAACCAGGGCACGUUGAAAAGUGCUUGGAUGACUUGUGGGUAGCGGAGAAAUUCCAAACGAACUUGGAGAUAGCUGGUUCUCUCCGAAAUAGCUUUAGGGCUAGCGUCGACAUUAGAGAUUCUUGGAGGUAGAGCACUGUUUGGGUGAGGGGUCCAUCCCGGAUUACCAAUCUCAGAUAAACUCCGAAUGCCAAUGAAUUAUGGUCGGCAGUCAGACUGCGAGUGCUAAGAUCCGUAGUCGAAAGGGAAACAGCCCAGACCACCAGCUAAGGUCCCAAAAUAAUUGUUAAGUGGAAAAGGAUGUGGGGUUGCACAGACAACUAGGAUGUUAGCUUAGAAGCAGCUAUUCAUUCAAAGAGUGCGUAAUAGCUCACUAGUCGAGUGACCCUGCGCCGAAAAUGUACCGGGGCUAAAACAAUUUACCGAAGCUGUGGAUACCUUUAUAGGUAUGGUAGGAGAGCGUUCUAUGUGUGAUGAAGGUAUACCGUGAGGAGUGCUGGAACGCAUAGAAGUGAGAAUGCCGGUAUGAGUAGCGAAAGACAGGUGAGAAUCCUGUCCACCGUAAGACUAAGGUUUCCAGGGGAAGGCUCGUCCGCCCUGGGUUAGUCGGGACCUAAGGAGAGACCGAAAGGUGUAUCCGAUGGACAACAGGUUGAUAUUCCUGUACUAGAGUAUGUAGUGAUGGAGGGACGCAGUAGGCUAACUAAAGCAGACGAUUGGAAGAGUCUGUCUAAGCAGUGAGGUGUGAAUUGAGUCAAAUGCUUAAUUCUAUAACAUUGAGCUGUGAUGGGGAGCGAAGUUUAGUAGCGAAGUUAGUGACGUCACACUGCCAAGAAAAGCUUCUAGCGUUUAAACAUACUCUACCCGUACCGCAAACCGACACAGGUAGUCGAGGCGAGUAGCCUCAGGUGAGCGAGAGAACUCUCGUUAAGGAACUCGGCAAAAUGACCCCGUAACUUCGGGAGAAGGGGUGCUGACUUUAAGUCAGCCGCAGUGAAUAGGCCCAAGCAACUGUUUAUCAAAAACACAGCUCUCUGCUAAAUCGUAAGAUGAUGUAUAGGGGGUGACGCCUGCCCGGUGCUGGAAGGUUAAGAGGAGUGCUUAGCGUAAGCGAAGGUAUGAAUUGAAGCCCCAGUAAACGGCGGCCGUAACUAUAACGGUCCUAAGGUAGCGAAAUUCCUUGUCGGGUAAGUUCCGACCCGCACGAAAGGCGUAAUGAUUUGGGCACUGUCUCAACGAGAGACUCGGUGAAAUUUUAGUACCUGUGAAGAUGCAGGUUACCCGCGACAGGACGGAAAGACCCCAUGGAGCUUUACUGCAGUUUGAUAUUGAGUGUCUGUACCACAUGUACAGGAUAGGUAGGAGUCUAAGAGAUCGGGACGCCAGUUUCGAAGGAGACGCUGUUGGGAUACUACCCUUGUGUUAUGGCCACUCUAACCCAGAUAGGUGAUCCCUAUCGGAGACAGUGUCUGACGGGCAGUUUGACUGGGGCGGGUAACCUGCAU
RNAcentral lists this ribosomal RNA (2269 nucleotides) under Streptococcus pneumoniae PNI0164. Its description in RNAcentral is "bacterial LSU rRNA". It matches the Rfam family "Bacterial large subunit ribosomal RNA", at positions 1 to 2292 of the family's 2925-position model. The record is from RNAcentral. Lineage: Bacteria; Bacillati; Bacillota; Bacilli; Lactobacillales; Streptococcaceae.